UUUAGGGUUUUCUCAAAACGCGAAUCUGCAAUUUUGUAGAUCUAACAGUUACUUGCUUAGCAGGAGAGCUAAGAAAAUUGCAGUGGAUGGCAGAGAUUAUGUUGAUUUCUCCUAUCCUGCACCACCUGUUGGAAUUGAAGCUACACCAAAUAAAGCCGAUGAGAAAUUUGCAUCAAGAAAAUCGAUUGAGGAAGAGGUAAUGGUAUCUUUGAGAAAUGAGAGAUCACUAUUAUUGGAAAAUGUGGUAUGGGCGGAGUGGGUAAAAUAACACUUGUAUGGCUUAAAAUUCACGUAGAAGCUUCGGAAAUAUUCUUGUAAUCGCUGAAUACAAGUUUUAUGUAAAUAAACUUUCACAACGGAAAUAGAAGUAAACUGAAGGAAGAUAGCCUGCACAAUGAGCAAUAGCUAUUCAUCUAGCAACAUUUGUAGUCUCAUCUCGAGGCGAAUUAUGUUUUAAUUUGCCAUGCGUAUACGAGGCUCAUCGUACCCCGAUGCCUCCAAAAGGCUCUUAAGGCAAAUCGGCGUUGACCAGCUAUUCUCGGAAUUUGUAAUUGCAUAAAACUUCCGAACCAAUUUUGUAAUCACAACCAAUUUUGUAAUCACAUAGAAUUCUCUUACCUUUUGGUAAGGAGACCAUUCCACGAGGCAAGGUGAUAUGCCAAUGUUCUUCGUGCUUUGAAGUUUACCUAGAUCUAUAUUUCAAUUGUUGCUAAAGAAUUUGAUGAGUUUUCUAAGCCAAUGUUUUGCUUAAGUCUUGAGUUGUGGAUUCGGUUGAAUGAUUUGCUUACUUGUUGGGAGAAUGAGUAAUCUCAAUGUCUUAAUAUAGUAACUCUAUUAUGCCCUUUGUAAUAUUGGUUUGAUUUGACGGUUUGUUGUCAAAUCGAAGGAUACUAUCUCUAAUUCAUUAAUGUUGAAUGAGAUAGGAAAAUUGACCAAUCUAAUUAUGUUAGAGUUUUUGAAAAUGAGGAAACAACACUUGACAAGGAUUUCACCAGGAAUAAAUAUAUGUGAAAGUAGAACAUUCAAGUUUCUCGACCUUGAGCGAGUUGGAAUCCUAAUCGUAAUUGACUGCACUAACACUAAUUGGAUGUUCUAGAGAUGUGAUUCACAAUAAUUUGGGUCUUUCCUUCAAGUUAACACGACACUUCAAAAGUGGACGAAAGUCGUUUUCCCCCUGUGUCUUUGCUGUCAAAUAUUUAUGACAUGAGCAUAGAUCUCCAGGUUAUUGAGACCACCUCAUUGGGUUAUUGAACCUGCCUCCUGAUGAGAAAGAGCGAUCGUGUACUUUCAAGCUAAAAUGGCUCAAAGAAUGCGUUGACCGAGUUGCUACUUGAUGAAUUUCUUUACUUCAUGUUACCUUAAUGUAGGAUAUUUGAGAUAUGGUUCCAUUUCUUCUAUUUGUAAUUGAAGGUGUAAGAAAUGCAAGUUCUCCAACUUUUGAGCCUAGAACGACUAGACCUCGUUGGGUCUGACAGUAAAACUAUUCUACGCUCUUGAAUAUGGGAAACUUUCCAUUGAUGGAAGAAGAUCACGGGAGCGGAACAAGGAGAAGAAAUGACUAACGAGCUCUUAUUUCCCGGUUAGCAGGAGUUUAGCAAGCUACUGAUGCAUUUUUUUUUAUGAAGCACGCUCGAGAAUCUCCAUUUCUUUGAGAAGUCAACAUUAAAAGCUGUACUGAAAUGAGACGCUUGUCCUAAGAUCCGAGAGUGUACGAGUCUGAGGAAUGGGGGAAAAAUCAAAGAUGCUUAGGCCAAGAUUAUCUAAAUAAAACGGUAUAGAAGAUCUUCAAUUCUAAGGUUUGUGUUGUGCCUCUGUAUAACUAAAUUAUAUUUGUCUCAAUCAUUAAUACGCCCCGCUUUAGUGUUGUAUAACAUGUUCUUUAACUAGUAAAUUCACUUAUUCAGUUAGUUAUUUCUACUUGUCCAAAUAUUUCCAGUUAGAAAUGUGAAGCAUCAAAAUUGUAAUUUCUAGGCAAGUCAUCUCUUUCUUAUUGCAAUCUCUUCUACCAGGGUCAAGGAACAAGAAGCUAGUUAUGACGACGAAUCUGGAGCUAGUGAUGAUGGAAGCCGAGUGAUGUUUACGACUCCAAAACUGGCGGGUAUUCCUCUCGUGGUAGCUAGUCUCAGACGUUCUUAGAGUGCCAGACAAAAUAUAUGAUCGUUUUUCAAAUUUUUGCUGCGUGGGACUCAACUCUCCCCUUCUAUACUAUAGUGCUAAUAGAAGCUUCAAGCUUAGCCUCAAGCCCGAGUCAUUGGAGCAAUCAUCAGAAGAAGUAAUAGUCAAGCCAAACAGGCUAUUUUAUGCUGAUAAAGGCUAGCUUCAAAAGAACAGCAGACAUCCAUUGCCAGAGAGAUUCCAAUACCAGAUAUGCUAUUUUAUGUCACUCGAUGACUUGAUUGGGACAUUCUUGUUUUAAUACGGGAAGAUGGUGAUGCAUCCUUCUAAUAUAUUGGCAGAACCUAUUCGAUUGUUCUCUGGUUACACUUGACAUAUAUAUAGGCAGAAUUUGUUCUGAAGUAAAUGGGGUCAGUGACCCCCUCCCAUCCAUGUAGGUCUGUGGUCCGCCUCUGUAAAUUUCAGUUCCCUUUGUAAAGACAUUACCAAAAUAGAAUUAUUUUUCCUUAUGAGCUUCCCAGAACGAAAAUUGCAAAAUAGUGAUGAGACUGAAUGUUUGUUUUGUUGAUGUUGGUUAGUCUAUGUCUAUCCCAAGAUAAAAUGACACUUGUUGCGAGACAAUUUGACUGAUCUUUGAAGCUAAAUUAGACUAUAUCAAUUCAAUAUUCUAAGAUUGAAAUUCAUAUAUUGUUUAAAAAUUAUACAAAAAGUACUAUAAGUUGUAAUUUCUCUCAUGUUAAUAUGAUAAAAAUAUACAAUUUAAAAUGCUGGCUAAAUUUACAUAGUUUGAAUUUCAAAAAAUGAGAAGUGUCACAUAAAUUGGGAGGCAGAUGUUACUUUUCUGAAAGUAAAUUUUUGUUCCUUUUCUAACAGUUCUGUCUAUGUAAUGGUUUAGCCAUGAUAAAAUUCUUUUCGUUAUGAUCUUCCCAAAAGGAAAAAUGGCUAAAUCAAACAUUGUUCAUCAUAGCACCAAGUCCUUAUGCAAUUUUUAUGAAGGUUGAAAUUAUGCUUUUCUUCACAAUUUCUGUAUAAAGAAAAAUAUGGUCCAAUUUG
RNAcentral lists this long non-coding RNA (3168 nucleotides) under Capsicum annuum. Its description in RNAcentral is "long non-coding RNA (CANN_LNC000239)". The record is from RNAcentral. Lineage: Eukaryota; Viridiplantae; Streptophyta; Magnoliopsida; Solanales; Solanaceae.